RNAcentral lists this ribosomal RNA (607 nucleotides) under uncultured marine eukaryote. Its description in RNAcentral is "SSU rRNA". It matches the Rfam family "Eukaryotic small subunit ribosomal RNA", at positions 614 to 1225 of the family's 1831-position model. The record is from RNAcentral.
UGCAGUUAGAACGCUCGUAGUCGGAUUUCGGGGCGGGCCGACCGGUCUGCCGAUGGGUACGCACUGGUCGGCGCGUCCUUCCUUCCGGAGACCGUGCCUACUCUUAACUGAGCGGGGGCGGGAGACGGAACGUUUACUUUGAAAAAAUCAGAGUGUUUCAAGCAGGCAGCUCGCUCUUGCAUGGAUUAGCAUGGGAUAAUGAAAUAGGACUUUGGUGCUAUUUUGUUGGUUUCGAACACCGAAGUAAUGAUGAGAAGGGACAGUCAGGGGCACUCGUAUUCCACCGAGAGAGGUGAAAUUCUCAGACCAGUGGAAGACGAACCACUGCGAAAGCAUUUGCCAGGGAUGUUUUCACUGAUCAAGAACGAAAGUUAGGGGAUCGAAGACGAUCAGAUACCGUCGUAGUCUUAACCAUAAACCAUGCCGACUAGGGAUUGGGGGAUGUUCACUGAUUGACUCCCUCAGCACCUUACGGGAAACUAAAGUCUUUGGGUUCCGGGGGGAGUAUGGUCGCAAAGCUGAAACUUAAAGGAAUUGACGGAAGGGCACCACCAGGUGUGGAGCCUGCGGCUUAAUUUGACUCCACACCGGGAAACUUACCAGGUCC